UACAGAGGUGCCGAGCGUUAGGCGGAAUCACUGGGCUUAAAGCGUGUGUAGGCGGACUUCUAAGUACCUUGUGAAAUCCCACGGCUCACCCGUGGAACUGCUGGGUAUACUGGUCGUCUUGAGCCACCUAGGGGCGAGCGGAACAAAUGGUGGAGCGGUGAAAUGCGUAGAUAUCAUUUGGAACGCCAACGGUGAAAACAGCUCGCUGGGGGUGUGCUGACGCUGAGACACGAAAGCCAGGGUAGCGAGCGGG
Molecule: ribosomal RNA, 253 nt
Filed under: uncultured bacterium
Lineage: Bacteria
Description: partial 16S ribosomal RNA
Rfam family: Bacterial small subunit ribosomal RNA
Source: RNAcentral